CCGGAUCGGGAAGUGUCAAGCGGGCGCUCCCCCAUCUCCGCCGCUAUUACCACUGAACCCGGACCCCCUACCCAGGUCCAGGGCCAGCCGCCAUGACGAACGCCGCUGUGAUUGGAACCAGGCUGCAUGCUGCUGUGGCAAUUGCUUGUGUUGUAAUGGCCUUUUACGUCCUGUUUAUAAAAUGAAUUCCAAAGCACCCAAGUCAUCAACUGCCAACCAAGGGGACGGGGAUGAAGAACCUGUUGGAGACCUGAACCCAGUGUAGGAGAGUUCAGCUGAAAUCAUCGGUCCCCAGGAUGACACCACAGCAUCUGCCCCUGCUAUAUGUGGGGAAAACUCAUGGUCACGAACAUUAUUUAUGCUUCAGGGGACUACAGAAAGCCAGCUUCCUUUGAUCUAUGUGUAAAUCAGUCCUUGGCAGAGUGCAUAUAAUGUCCGGAUAAAUUACACCCCUCGGUGAUAAGAUUACAUACCUCCUUCAUAAAAACCUGUCAUCCUGUUUUGUUCUUCAGCUCCUCAUCAGGAUCUUUUCAAACUGAGGCUCAUUAGGGAAGGAACUAGGCUGUGUUCAGACUUCUUUUGAAGAGAGAGAAUUUUCAAGACUUCUUUUCACUCUUUGAUUUGGAUCUGGCAAAUUGGGGAGGGGAUGCUGGGUGGGAAACAGUUAUGAAAUGCCAAGAAAUUCUUUGGCUUUAGAAAUUUAUCUUUCAUGUACCCAUCCGGGAACAUAAAAGAGAGGCAUAGUGCUCAUUGCAAAAAGAGAACAGAUGAAGUAGCUGUGUUAUGUGCUGGUAUCUUGAGAGUUUUGCCAAGAAAAUCUGGGCCUACAUAAAAUUUGAGAAUUAUCUGUGUGAUGAGACCAGAAAGCAGUGGCUUAGACAAGAAAAAAUCUUUCUGUUCACCAGUAUCCUCAAAUGGAGACUUCACUUGAUCAGAUGGUAUAUGAAAAAUGAAUCAACUAUUGCUAUUUCGUAAAACCUUUUUAUAUUUUCUAAAUUUACUUAGUGCUAAAUACUGUUACUCAGUUUUAAAUGCCACGACUAGGGGAAAAAGAAACUAUUGAAGAAAUAAUUGUUUAGUAUAUUUGCAGUUGGGGUAGAAGAAAGAAAUCUAGUAUAUUGAUUCAUAUACUAGUAAAUUCAUCUAGUAUAAGAACUUGUGAUGUUAGAUUGAAGUUUUGUCAUCUUAUAAAAGACAACAAACUUAUUUUCUGUUUAAGUCUGAGUGUUAUGGCAAUUUUUAGUUGAUUACUUAUUUUUCUUAGCCAAAUUUUAAUUUUCUUCAUAUUGCAUUGCUCUUUAGUUGUCUCUGGAAAUUCUAUUUACUUUAAGGACAUGAGAAAUUCAAAUGAGAGAAGUUGCUGAUAUUCAUCAGUGUGUUUGGACAGUUCAUAGGGUCCACAAAUCAAAUGAGGUUGUUUCCUGAAGUAGAAGAAAACAGAACUUUGCAAUUGAUACUGAAGUACUUUGCCAUGGAGUUAGUAACUCCUGAGCAGACCAUUUUAGAUGGCUCAGCAUUUGGCAGGAAGACUUCUCCAUUCCCUGCUUAUAUCUAUGGAAGGAUCAGCUGUUGGAUGUCUAGAACUUCUCUAUUUAAAAAAAAAGAGUAGGUCUAAAAUUAAAUUAUUAUAAGCAAGCAUAGACAUGGGUCUUCCAGUUGAAUUGUCCAUUACCGUAAAACUUAAUGGUGGACAAGUUAGCUGUGGUUGAUUCCUGUGUGGCAGUAAAUUGUCUUCUGUCUGCUUACUCCAAAUAAUAAAAGCUGCUAGGAAGUUUAGAUUUUGAAAUAGGCAGUUUAAUGCUUUGAGGGUUUCUAGAAAUACAGAAAGUCAUCAAGUAAACACUGCAUGUCUAAUCAUCUCAGAGUUGUGGCUGUUAUCUCUUCAGGAAUUGGUCCACAGGGUAAAUUUCAACAAUUCAUACGUUUUCCAUUGUCAUUUCUGAGGACCUUUGAGAUGAGAGAAAGGAAAUCUAGUGGAACAGGAAAGAGAGUUACACCUUGUGGGUGUGAGUUUGGGACCUGUUGGCAGAAGGGAAUGUCACUCCCUGGAAACAGGUUCAGCAUGUUUGCACUUGUUAUUUUGUAGCUUUAAUGAUUUUUGUUUUCUAAUAGGGCAAAUGUCUCUAAGCUUGGUGUUUAGAGCUGCUUCAUAUUUUAAACUAGUUCCAUUCCACAGUUCUAGUUCAAACCAGUUUUUACAGCCUCCUGGGUGGGUCGUCUUGACCCAAACUCUUGUGUUGUUACAUUUUGAGAGGUUUUCAUACCAGAAUGUACCAAAAAGUGCACAAGGUAAAGGUAAUUUACAGCCAGAAACAAAUAUACAUUUGUUUCAUUUCUUGACUUUCCCUAAGCAGAUAAGCAGAAACUUGUUUAACUCAUUACUUUGUUUGAUGUGUCUUACAUAUUUUUGACUAAAAGUUAUAGAAUGUUAUUCCUCUGGGGGAAUCUUUUACAGGUGGAGGAAUGGGGAUAGCAGUAUUGCCUCAGAUUCAAACUGGCAUCACCAUAAACCCUGUAGGCCAGGGUGGAAUGAAGUCAGCUCCUUUUUAUAGUUGAAAUACAAUUUUUUAUUCACCAUUGUCUGCACAAAUCCUUGAAAAUAAACCUUUUUUUCCCU
This 2617-nucleotide long non-coding RNA is filed under the name Homo sapiens (human). RNAcentral's name for it is "long non-coding RNA NONHSAT005011.2". The record is from RNAcentral. Lineage: Eukaryota; Metazoa; Chordata; Mammalia; Primates; Hominidae.